Molecule: long non-coding RNA, 389 nt
Filed under: Arabidopsis lyrata
Lineage: Eukaryota; Viridiplantae; Streptophyta; Magnoliopsida; Brassicales; Brassicaceae
Description: long non-coding RNA (ALYR_LNC002653)
Source: RNAcentral
UUCCUAAUCCAAGGCAAGCGAAGUAGAUCAAACGACAAUCAAGAGAAGAAGAGGUCUAGUCACGAGCCUGUAGAGGUAAGACCAAAAAGUUACAGCAAGAGUGAAGUCGCAGUACAUAACAAAAGGAACGAUUGUUGGGUCAUAAUCAAAGAUAGAGUCUAUGAUGUUACUUCUUAUGUUGAAGAACAUCCUGGUGGUGACGCCAUUCUAGAUCAUGCUGGUGAUGAUUCUACUGAUGGCUUCUUCGGACCACAACACGCCACUCGUGUAUUCGACAUGAUUGAGGAUUUCUACAUCGGAGAACUUCUUAAGUAAGCAAAAAAGUUGGCUUUUUUAUUCUCUUCUGAUUGAAGAUUUGAGAUUGUAGAACCUUUUGUCUUGCUAGUAUA